CUAAGUUUGAUGGCGACUGGCGCACGGGUGAGUAACACGUAUCCAACCUGCCGAUGACUCGGGGAUAGCCUUUCGAAAGAAAGAUUAAUACCCGAUGGCAUAGUUCUUCCGCAUGGUGGAACUAUUAAAGAAUUUCGGUCAUCGAUGGGGAUGCGUUCCAUUAGGUUGUUGGCGGGGUAACGGCCCACCAAGCCUUCGAUGGAUAGGGGUUCUGAGAGGAAGGUCCCCCACAUUGGAACUGAGACACGGUCCAAACUCCUACGGGAGGCAGCAUG
This 275-nucleotide ribosomal RNA is filed under the name uncultured bacterium. RNAcentral describes it as "partial 16S ribosomal RNA". It matches the Rfam family "Bacterial small subunit ribosomal RNA", at positions 79 to 353 of the family's 1533-position model. The record is from RNAcentral.